UCAUGAAUGAAUUAAUCCACUCAUGAAUUAAUGGAUUAAUGGGUUAUCAUAGGUGUGAAACUGAUGGCUUUAUAAAAAGAAGAGAGACCCGAGCUGAUAUGUUUUCACCCCCAUAUCUUGUGAAGCCCUGAGCUGUCUCCUAACUCUACAGAGAGCUCCCACCAGCAAGAAGGACCUCAUUGAAUGCAGCCUCUCAACCCUGGACUUCUCAGCCUCCAUAACUGCAACCAGCACUUAUUCCACCAUUUUCUGAGGAAAAACAUAGGACUAUGACACAAAGUCUCACCCUUGUCUCACGUGGAGGGGAGUAAGCCAGUGCUAUUCCCUAUCUGAGCUUGGAAUGUGCAAGACAUCAAAGGGAUUGAUGGGUCUGGUUCUGUCACCCAGGCUGGAGUGCAAUGGCACACUCUCAGCUCACCACAACCUUCGCCCCCCAGGUUUAAGUGAUUCUCCUGCCUCAACCUCCCAAGUAGCUGGGACUACAGGUGUGUACCACCAUGGCUGGCUAAUUUUUGUAUUUUUAAGUAGAGUCAGGGUUCCGCCAUGUUGGUCAGGCUGGUCUUGAAUCCCUGACCUCAUGAUCCACCCACCUCAGCCUCCCAAAGGGCUGGGAUUACAGGCGCGAGCCACCGUGCCUGGCUAAGUCUAUGUUCUUAUUCAGAGACUUAG
This 669-nucleotide long non-coding RNA is filed under the name Callithrix jacchus (white-tufted-ear marmoset). RNAcentral describes it as "lncRNA (ENSCJAG00000086324.1)". Lineage: Eukaryota; Metazoa; Chordata; Mammalia; Primates; Cebidae. The record is from RNAcentral.